UACAGCCAUAUCACGUUGAAACAUUGGUUCCCAUACGAUCGCCGUAGUUAAGCAACGUCGAGCUUGAUCAGUACUUAGAUAGGUGACCGCUUGGGAAUACUAUGUACUGUA
Non-coding RNA from Acanthosepion pharaonis, 111 nucleotides. Lineage: Eukaryota; Metazoa; Mollusca; Cephalopoda; Sepiida; Sepiidae. The record is from the annotation of a GenBank genome assembly.